RNAcentral lists this ribosomal RNA (442 nucleotides) under Cetobacterium somerae. Its description in RNAcentral is "partial 23S ribosomal RNA". It matches the Rfam family "Bacterial large subunit ribosomal RNA", at positions 753 to 1195 of the family's 2925-position model. Lineage: Bacteria; Fusobacteriati; Fusobacteriota; Fusobacteriia; Fusobacteriales; Fusobacteriaceae. The record is from RNAcentral.
GUGGUAAGACACAGUGGAGGCCCGAACUCACCGCCGGUGAAAAGUUGGGAGAUGAGGUAGGUCUAGGGGUGAAAAGCCAAUCGAACCAGGAGAUAGCUCGUUCUCUCCGAAAUGCAUUUAGGUGCAGCCCUUAGUGUUCAAAUAUGUGGGUAGAGCACUGAAUGACCUAGGGGGCAUACUGCUUACCGAAGUCAAUCAACCUCCGAAUACCAUAAUUCUAGAGCUCAGGCGUGAGACUAUGGGAAUUAACUUCCAUGGUCAACAGCGAAACAACCCAGACCACCAGCUAAAGUCCCUAAUUAUACCUCAGUAGGACAGGAGGUGGAGAUUCACAAACAUCCAGGCGGUUGGCUUAGCAGCAGCCUUACCUUUCAAGCGCGCGUGCUCGCUCCCUGGUCCACAAUCCACGCUCCGACCAUCUACCCGGGCUUCGUUAUCCACC